AGCAGCGGGGUGGAAAUGCAGCCACUUCCCGGCUCCUGUUCUAAUGAGAUCAGUGCGCGCCCCUGGGAAAGGUGAGUGUGACACAGGUGGGACGUGGCUUUGCAUGAGCAGCUCCAUGCAUCCCAGCUGCAGGGUCUUCCGUGCAUGCCGUGCUCCAAGCAUCAGAGUCACUGGGCAACGCCGUGCAGCAGCAGGGCGGGCUCUGCAAAGGGAAUUGCAUCUGAACAGCGUUGCAUCUGAAUAGCGCUGCACCUGCAGAGUGUUGCAUCUGAACAGCAUUGCAUCUGAACAGCACGGUACCUGCACAGUAUUGCAUCUGCACAGUGUUACAUCCAAACAGCGUUGCACCUGAGCAACACAGUGCCUGCACAGUGUUUGCAUCUGAACAGCACAGUAUCUGCACAGCGUUGCAUCUGAAUAGCAUUGCACCUGCACAGUGUUGCAUCUGAACAGCAUUGCACCUGCUCAGCAUUGCAUCUGAACAACACAGUACCUACACAGCGUUGCAUCUGAACAGAACAGCACCUGCAUAUCAUUGCAUCUGAACAGCAUUGCGACUGCGUGGCACUGCAUCUGAAUAGCACUGCGCCUGCACUGCUUUGCACCUGCACGGUGUUGCACCUGCACUGCUUUGCACCUGCACAGUAAUGGCAUUGCACUUGCACAGAAGGAGAGGGAGAGAAAGCAGCCCUGGGAUCGGGACCUGCUGCUCACAGGGCCCCGCAGGGCUGUGCCCUCACUGUUUGCCCACAUCCCACCGAAAUCCCACGGGAUCGAUGGGGGUCGGCCGGGUGCACCGCCCCGAGGCCAUGGGAUCGAUGAGGAGUGAAGGAAAUGCGGCCGAAGAUGCGCGGUUUUACAGCUUCCUCCCCAAGAACGGCCGUGCUUUAUGGACUGCUGGUAAUUGCCAAUUAAUUGCGCUGCAGCCGAGGGCAGGAAAGCAGCCCGCAUCCUCCAUACGGGGUGGGCAGGAUAUCAGAGUCCGAAGGUGUUACCACUCCUCCACUUAAUGAAGAAAAAUCACGAUGGAGGCGGCCGGAGGCAACGCAAUGGGAUUGCAGCGGGGAGGAGAGGACUGUGUUAACACCCAUUAAUAAUAAAUAACCGCCAUAAUGAGCUCUAAUUAAUUUGGUCACACGUUAGAGAUCGCUUCCUUCUUUUUUAAGCUUGUAGGUUUUUCUGUGCCGGAGCAUCCCUGCGCCCUGGCUGUUCCCAGCCCCUUCCAUUCAACGUGUGAUAGAUGGAUUGAUACGCAGCUUUAAUCAGUGUAAUAUAUAAAGCACUUAAUUUGCCUUAUUAAAAGUCUGCACUUUGGAUUUUCAGGCUUCAGGAAAUUAACUCAAGCACCUAACCAUUUAUUUGAUUGAGAGAGAGCAUAAAUAAUUCAUGGCUUUUGCUUUGCCUUGGGUGGAAGAGCUGUGGGGUGAUGGGGAACGUUCCCCAGCACAGGGACAUGGCAGCUCUGCUUGGGGACCGACAGAGCGCCGUGUAAGGUGUGCAAUGUGCAUCCCUGGAGCGUGCAAGGCCUGCAAGCCAGCCCUUAUGGUGCGCAGUGUGCAACCUCAGAGCUGUGCACUGCUGCCACUACGGCGUGGGAUGCGUGUGCUUGAGGCUGUGCUUUGCCGGCUGGUCCUGAUGGCGCAGGAUGUGCAUCCCUGGGACGUUCAACAGCACUCAGCCCUUGGAGUGAGGGAUGUGCAUCCCUGGGAUGUGCAUCAGCAUCCAGCCCUUAAGGUGUGGGAUGUGCAUCCCUGGGAUGUGCAUCAGCAUCCAGCCCUUACGGUGUGGGAUGUGCAUCCCUGCGAUGUGCAUCAGCAUCCAGCCCUUACGGUGUGGGAUGUGCAUCCCUGCAAUGUUCACCACCGCCCAGCUCUUACAGUGAGGCAUGUGCACCCCUGGGCCCGUGCUUCCCCACUCCACCUUUCUGGUGUGGGGCGUGCACCCUUUGGGACCGCGCUUAGCCAGGCUCUGGGGCGCACAGUGCUCCGCUCCCGAGUCCGGCGGUGCCGACCCCACAGCGCGGGCGCGCA
Molecule: long non-coding RNA, 2030 nt
Filed under: Gallus gallus (chicken)
Lineage: Eukaryota; Metazoa; Chordata; Aves; Galliformes; Phasianidae
Description: long non-coding RNA NONGGAT005019
Source: RNAcentral